RNAcentral lists this ribosomal RNA (354 nucleotides) under uncultured bacterium. RNAcentral's name for it is "partial 16S ribosomal RNA". It matches the Rfam family "Bacterial small subunit ribosomal RNA", at positions 338 to 689 of the family's 1533-position model. The record is from RNAcentral.
CCUACGGGAGGCAGCAGUGAGGAAUAUUGGUCAAUGGCCGGAAGGCUGAACCAGCCAUGCCGCGUGAAGGUCAGUGCCCUAUGGGCGUUAAACUUCUUUUGUGCGGGAGCAAUAAUGGUCACGUGUGGCCAGACGAGAGUACCGUACGAAUAAGCAUCGGCUAACUCCGUGCCAGCAGCGGCGGUAAUACGGGUGAUGCAAGCGUUCUCCGGAUUUAUUGGGUUUAAAGGGUGCGUAGGCUGUGAUGUAAGUCAGCGGUGAAAUGCCCCGGCUCAACGGGGUGAAGUGCCAUUGAUACUGCUGUGCUGGAAUGCGUAUGCCGUGGGAGGAAUGUGUGGUGUAGCGGUGAAAUGC